Non-coding RNA from Lolium perenne, 359 nucleotides. Lineage: Eukaryota; Viridiplantae; Streptophyta; Magnoliopsida; Poales; Poaceae. The record is from RefSeq and is a predicted model, not a curated record.
GCUUAAUUGUAUGCUAAUUUCUCUCUCUUUCGGUAUCCUUUGUUCUAUUAUAGAUGUGACAUAAUGCUUAUUUCUACUUCUAGCAGGCUCCUUGUAAUAACUAUCAAGAAUCAUGCCAAUUUGCCUACUGCAGCUAAAGUUGCUGCUUGGAGCAUGGUUGAGUCAGCUCCCUUGCUGCAGCCUACGGCUCUCCCCUUGCCCCCUUGUCGAAGCCAUCGGAGAGGACAAGGCCGACAACCCAUGAUGAUACACUCACAGCUACCCAGGCCUCGCUGGUCCUCCCUUGCAUGCCCUCAUAUGCCAGGGGUUAUGGCAAUCAGGACAUGGUGGGGGCAGUUGGCGGUAAGGCAGAGUCAGGC